AAGUCGUAACAAGGUUUCCGUAGGUGAACCUGCGGAAGGAUCAUUAUCGAGUCUUUGAAAGAGGUUGUAGCUGGUCCUUAGGGGCAUGUGCACGCCUCGCUCAUCCCAACUCUCUCAACCCCUGUGAACCCACUGUAGGUCGCGGUACUUCCAAAGGGAAGGGUGUUCGGGGCGCGAGCCCCUAACCUUGAACUGAGGGUCCGUCCUACGUCUUUAACAAACACCCAAAAUGUAUCAGAAUGUAUUCGCGCUUAAUAAACGCAUCAAUAUAACUUUCAGCAACGGAUCUCUUGGCUCUC
Molecule: unclassified non-coding RNA, 299 nt
Filed under: air metagenome
Description: partial contains small subunit ribosomal RNA, internal transcribed spacer 1, and 5.8S ribosomal RNA
Rfam family: Eukaryotic small subunit ribosomal RNA (bases 1-46)
Source: RNAcentral